CGAGACCUCAGGUCAGGCGGGGCUACCCGCUGAAUUUAAGCAUAUCAAAAGCGG
RNAcentral lists this ribosomal RNA (54 nucleotides) under Astragalus xiphidioides. RNAcentral describes it as "partial 26S ribosomal RNA". Lineage: Eukaryota; Viridiplantae; Streptophyta; Magnoliopsida; Fabales; Fabaceae. The record is from RNAcentral.